GUUAGCGGCGGACGGGUGAGUAACACGUGGAUAACCUACCUAUAAGACUGGGAUAACUUCGGGAAACCGGAGCUAAUACCGGAUAAUAUUUUGAACCGCAUGGUUCAAAAGUGAAAGACGGUCUUGCUGUCACUUAUAGAUGGAUCCGCGCUGCAUUAGCUAGUUGGUAAGGUAACGGCUUACCAAGGCAACGAUGCAUAGCCGACCUGAGAGGGUGAUCGGCCACACUGGAACUGAGACACGGUCCAGACUCCUACGGGAGGCAGCAGUAGGGAAUCUUCCGCAAUGGGCGAAAGCCUGACGGAGCAACGCCGCGUGAGUGAUGAAGGUCUUCGGAUCGUAAAACUCUGUUAUUAGGGAAGAACAUAUGUGUAAGUAACUGUGCACAUCUUGACGGUACCUAAUCAGAAAGCCACGGCUAACUACGUGCCAGCAGCCGCGGUAAUACGUAGGUGGCAAGCGUUAUCCGGAAUUAUUGGGCGUAAAGCGCGCGUAGGCGGUUUUUUAAGUCUGAUGUGAAAGCCCACGGCUCAACCGUGGAGGGUCAUUGGAAACUGGAAAACUUGAGUGCAGAAGAGGAAAGUGGAAUUCCAUGUGUAGCGGUUAAAUGCGCAGAGAUAUGGAGGAACACCAGUGGCGAAGGCGACUUUCUGGUCUGUAACUGACGCUGAUGUGCGAAAGCGUGGGAAUCAAACAGGAUUAGAUACCCUGGUAGUCCACGCCGUAAACGAUGAGUGCUAAGUGUUAGGGGGUUUCCGCCCCUUAGUGCUGCAGCUAACGCAUUAAGCACUCCGCCUGGGGAGUACGACCGCAAGGUUGAAACUCAAAGGAAUUGACGGGGACCCGCACAAGCGGUGGAGCAUGUGGUUUAAUUCGAAGCAACGCGAAGAACCUUACCAAAUCUUGACAUCCUUUGACAACUCUAGAGAUAGAGCCUUCCCCUUCGGGGGACAAAGUGACAGGUGGUGCAUGGUUGUCGUCAGCUCGUGUCGUGAGAUGUUGGGUUAAGUCCCGCAACGAGCGCAACCCUUAAGCUUAGUUGCCAUCAUUAAGUUGGGCACUCUAAGUUGACUGCCGGUGACAAACCGGAGGAAGGUGGGGAUGACGUCAAAUCAUCAUGCCCCUUAUGAUUUGGGCUACACACGUGCUACAAUGGACAAUACAAAGGGCAGCGAAACCGCGAGGUCAAGCAAAUCCCAUAAAGUUGUUCUCAGUUCGGAUUGUAGUCUGCAACUCGACUACAUGAAGCUGGAAUCGCUAGUAAUCGUAGAUCAGCAUGCUACGGUGAAUACGUUCCCGGGUCUUGUACACACCGCCCGUCACACCACGAGAGUUUGUAACA
Molecule: ribosomal RNA, 1342 nt
Filed under: Staphylococcus aureus
Lineage: Bacteria; Bacillati; Bacillota; Bacilli; Caryophanales; Staphylococcaceae
Description: 16S ribosomal RNA
Rfam family: Bacterial small subunit ribosomal RNA
Source: RNAcentral